CUGCCCAGUGACAACCGUUAAACGGCCGCGGUAUCCUGACCGUGCAAAGGUAGCAUAAUCACUUGUUCUCUAAAUAAGGACUUGUAUGAAUGGCCACACGAGGGUUUUACUGUCUCUUACUUCUAAUCAGUGAAAUUGACCUUCCCGUGAAGAGGCGGGAAUAUAUUAAUAAGACGAGAAGACCCUAUGGAGCUUUAACUACUUAACCCAAAGAAACAAAAUUUAUUUCUAAGGAAACAAUAAUAUUCUUUAUGGGUUAACAGCUUUGGUUGGGGUGACCUCGGAGAAUAAAAAAUCCUCCGAGCGAUUUUAAAGACUAGACCCACAAGUCGAAUCGCACAAUCGCUUAUUGAUCCAAAAAAUUGAUCAACGGAACAAGUUACCCUAGGGAUAACAGCGCAAUCCUAUUCAAGAGUCCAUAUCGACAAUAGGGUUUACGACCUCGAUGUUGGAUCAGGACAUCCUGAUGGUGCAACCGC
Molecule: ribosomal RNA, 479 nt
Filed under: Muntiacus muntjak (muntjak)
Lineage: Eukaryota; Metazoa; Chordata; Mammalia; Artiodactyla; Cervidae
Description: partial large subunit ribosomal RNA
Rfam family: Bacterial large subunit ribosomal RNA
Source: RNAcentral